CUUUCAAUUUUGUUUCUCAACUACUUGUUUUUCCUAAGACACUCAAGUCUCCUUUUGUUUCAAAAUUAACGAUUUCUGCAAAUGACCUCGAGUGAGUCCCAACACAACCACAAAACCUACAAUUGCACACAAAUUUAUUCAUCUAACCGUUGCUGCAAUGAAGCAUAGAAUUAUUCAUCUUAAAAUAGGUUCAAUCUAUUGCAAGGAUGUACCAUUACGUACUUGCAUUACAUAAUACGACCACCUAUUGAUGUUCACUAGUAGGCGUGGAUAACGGUCCUAUUGAUGACUGCUUAACAUGGUGACCAAAAGAAGUAUGUAGCCCUGGACAUUUCCGAUGCAUUCAUGGACUGAUUCACAUUUUGAGAGUUCCAAGAGUAAUGCAACUGCUAAUUUUCCUCCCCCAAUGCGACAUCCAAGAGACUUAGUAAUAGAUUCCAUGCCAUUGCCAACUCUAGCAAUUCUUACCUGUAAAAUACAUGAAAUUUCAAUUAAAUAUUUACUAUAUGUUCCUACUAUGUUGUCUUCUUCAAAGUAACCACAAAUAUCUAUGCUAUAUUUUACCUGAUAAGUUAAUCUUUUGUUAUUCUUUAAACCUGUAAGUUCUAAUAUAUAUAUAUAUAUAUAUAUAUAUUUUAAACAAUCUUCUAUUCGUGCUGAACCCAAAUAAAUUAUCAAAACUAACUUUUCAAAACCAAACUCAGAAACAAGAUUUCAGAAUUUUCUCGACAUCCCAGAAAAGGAGCAAGGACAAAUGGCAGAUUUUUAAACAUGUCUAGAUAUAUCUGAAAAUCCUCAAAUUUGAAAAGGAAUUCUUAAACUCCUGAAAGGUGUUCUAUUUGUUCAUUUCUUAUAUCACAAAAAAUAACAUAACAAUAAUUUCGACAAAAAAAAGAAAAAAAAAUCAUAGAUGGAGAAAUCACAUAGAGAACCCAAAUCUAGAAAAAUAAAAUCUUGAAGAUUCUAACCGGGAAAGAACUCGUGAACGGAAAUGGCCCAGCCAAGAGAGGUGGAGGUCUACAAAGCCGGG
RNAcentral lists this long non-coding RNA (1030 nucleotides) under Olea europaea (common olive). RNAcentral describes it as "long non-coding RNA (OEUR_LNC002615)". Lineage: Eukaryota; Viridiplantae; Streptophyta; Magnoliopsida; Lamiales; Oleaceae. The record is from RNAcentral.